AACGAACGCUGGCGGCAUGCCUAACACAUGCAAGUCGAACGAGGUCUUCGGGUCUAGUGGCGCACGGGUGCGUAACGCGUGGGAAUCUGCCCUUUGGUUCGGAAUAACAGUUGGAAACGACUGCUAAUACCGGAUGAUGACGAAAGUCCAAAGAUUUAUCGCCAGAGGAUGAGCCCGCGUAGGAUUAGCUAGUUGGUGUGGUAAAGGCGCACCAAGGCGACGAUCCUUAGCUGGCCUGAGAGGAUGAUCAGCCACACUGGGACUGAGACACGGCCCAGACUCCUACGGGAGGCAGCAGUGGGGAAUAUUGGACAAUGGGCGAAAGCCUGAUCCAGCAAUGCCGCGUGAGUGAUGAUGGCCUUAGGGUUGUAAAGCUCUUUUACCCGGGAUGAUAAUGACAGUACCGGGAGAAUAAGCUCCGGCUAACUCCGUGCCAGCAGCCGCCGUAA
This 449-nucleotide ribosomal RNA is filed under the name uncultured bacterium. Its description in RNAcentral is "partial 16S ribosomal RNA". It matches the Rfam family "Bacterial small subunit ribosomal RNA", at positions 29 to 523 of the family's 1533-position model. The record is from RNAcentral.